This 1678-nucleotide ribosomal RNA is filed under the name Mus musculus (house mouse). RNAcentral's name for it is "bacterial LSU rRNA". It matches the Rfam family "Bacterial large subunit ribosomal RNA", at positions 1138 to 2841 of the family's 2925-position model. The record is from RNAcentral. Lineage: Eukaryota; Metazoa; Chordata; Mammalia; Rodentia; Muridae.
UAGCUCACUGGUCGAGUGAUCCUGCGCCGAAAAUUUCCGGGGCUAAAACGUACUACCGAAGCUACGGCAUCAAUUAUGAUGGGUAGGGGAGCUUCGUAUGCAGGCUGAAGCAUGACCGUAAGGACAUGUGGACAGUAUACGAGUGAGAAUGUUGGCAUGAGUAGCGAGACGUGGGUGAGAAUCCCACGGGCCGUAAACCCAAGGUUUCCAGGGGAAGGUUCGUCCGCCCUGGGUAAGUCGGGACCUAACGUGAGGCCGAAAGGCGCAGCGGAUGGAAAGCAGGCGGAGAUUCCUGCACCCGUAUAUGGAGCGAAGGAGUGACGGAGAAGGCAGAUGCGACCCUCUUACUGGAUUGAGGGCCAAGCGAAGCAGGUGGUAUCCAGGCAAAUCCGGAUACGGAAACCAGAGCGUGACGGGUAAGCGAAAGCGGAAAGCGAGUAGCGAAGCGCAUCGAGUCAGCUUCCAGGAAAAGCUUCUAGUGAAAAUGCAUAUACGGCCCGUACCAAAACCGACACAGGUGGGCGCGCAGAGGAUGCGAAGGUGAGCGAGAGAACUGUUGCCAAGGAACUCGGCAAAAUGGCCCCGUACGUUCGCAAGAAGGGGCGCUCGAAAGAGCCGCAGUGAAAAGGCCCAAGCGACUGUUUAACUAAAACACAGCUCCCUGCGAAGCCGCAAGGCGAAGUAUAGGGGGUGACACCUGCCCGGUGCUGGAAGGUUAAGGCAAGCUGUCAACCGCGAGGUGAAGCAGUGACCCGAAGCCCCAGUGAACGGCGGCCGUAACUAUAACGGUCCUAAGGUAGCGAAAUUCCUUGUCAGGUAAGUUCUGACCCGCACGAAAGGUGUAACGAUUUGGGCGCUGUCUCGGCAGCAGACUCGGUGAAAUCUUAGUACCUGUGAAAAUGCAGGUUACCCGCAACUAGACGGAAAGACCCCAUGGAGCUUUACUGCAGCCUGGUAUUGGGUCCUGGACAGCCAUGUACAGGAUAGGUGGGAGACUUGGAAGCGAGUACGCAAGUAUUGGUGGAGUCGCCGGUGGGAUACCACUCCUGGAUGUAUGGGGCCCUAACCCGUGUGCCGAGAGGGACAGGGGAGAGUGCCAGGCGGGCAGUUUGACUGGGGCGGUCGCCUCCCAAAGAGUAACGGAGGCGCCCAAAGGUACGCUCAGGUUGGAUGGGAACCAACUGAAGAGUGCAAAUGCAGAAGCGUGCCUGACUGCGACAGAGACAACUGGAGCAGGGACGAAAGUCGGGAUUAGUGAUCCGGCGGUGCCGAAUGGAAGGGCCGUCGCUCAACGGAUAAAAGCUACCCUGGGGAUAACAGGCUGAUCUCGCCCAAGAGUUCACAUCGACGGCGAGGUUUGGCACCUCGAUGUCGGCUCAUCGCAUCCUGGAGCUGGAUUCGGUUCCAAGGGUUGGGCUGUCCGCCCAUUAAAGCGGUACGCGAGCUGGGUUCAGAACGUCGUGAGACAGUUCGGUCCCUAUCUGUCGUGGGCGCAGGAUAUUUGAGUGGAGCUGUCCCUAGUACGAGAGGACCGGGAUGGACGUACCUCUGGUGUACCAGUUGUCGUGCCAACGGCACAGCUGGGUAGCUAUGUACGGACGGGAUAAACGCUGAAGGCAUCUAAGCGUGAAGCCCCCCUCAAGAUGAGAUAUCCCAUCGCAAGAGUAAGACCCCUUGA